RNAcentral lists this ribosomal RNA (484 nucleotides) under uncultured bacterium. RNAcentral describes it as "partial 16S ribosomal RNA". It matches the Rfam family "Bacterial small subunit ribosomal RNA", at positions 30 to 507 of the family's 1533-position model. The record is from RNAcentral.
AUUGAACGCUGGCGGCAGGCCUAACACAUGCAAGUCGAGCGGAUGAAGGGAGCUUGCUCCUGGAUUCAGCGGCGGACGGGUGAGUAAUGCCUAGGAAUCUGCCUGGUAGUGGGGGAUAACGUCCGGAAACGGGCGCUAAUACCGCAUACGUCCUGAGGGAGAAAGUGGGGGAUCUUCGGACCUCACGCUAUCAGAUGAGCCUAGGUCGGAUUAGCUAGUUGGUGGGGUAAAGGCCUACCAAGGUGACGAUCCGUAACUGGUCUGAGAGGAUGAUCAGUCACACUGGAACUGAGGCACGGUCCAGACUCCUACGGGAGGCAGCAGUGGGGAAUAUUGGACAAUGGGCGAAAGCCUGAUCCAGCCAUGCCGCGUGUGUGAAGAAGGUCUUCGGAUUGUAAAGCACUUUAAGUUGGGAGGAAGGGCAGUAAGUUAAUACCUUGCUGUUUUGACGUUACCAACAGAAUAAGCACCGGCUAACUUCGUG